AAAGUCGUAACAAGGUUUCCGUAGGUGAACCUGCGGAAGGAUCAUUAAUAUGAAAAUGUUAGUGGGCUUUAGCCUGUCUACAUCACUAUGAUACCCAUUACGGGUAUUCAUUGUGUCCACCCUUUGUGAAACUUCUAUUUUUGCUUCGGCAGCUCUCUCAGUGGGCAACUGUUGAUGGGGUAAGGCUGUCAGAAGACCAUUAUAAAACUAGUUUGAUGAAAUGUCAUGCAGUCUGAUAACUACUAUUUGAGAAAUCAAAUUACGUUAAAACUUUCAGCAACGGAUCUCUUGGUUCUC
RNAcentral lists this unclassified non-coding RNA (297 nucleotides) under Ascomycota sp. RNAcentral describes it as "partial contains small subunit ribosomal RNA, internal transcribed spacer 1, and 5.8S ribosomal RNA". The stretch from base 1 to 47 matches the Rfam family "Eukaryotic small subunit ribosomal RNA", at positions 1785 to 1831 of the family's 1831-position model. The record is from RNAcentral. Lineage: Eukaryota; Fungi; Ascomycota.